CCAAAUACCAAGGCGAUCGGGUGAACUGUGGUUAAGGAACUCGGCAAAUUGCCCCCGUAACUUCGGGAGAAGGGGGACCUCUGUUGGUGAUGGGCUUUACGCCUGGAGCUGGUGGGGGUCGCAGUGGCCAGGGGGAAGCGACUGUUUACUAAAAACACAGGUCCGUGCGAAGUCGUAAGACGAUGUAUACGGACUGACGCCUGCCCGGUGCCGGAACGUUAAGGGGACCGCUUAGCCGACGUGAGUUGGCGAAGGUGAGAACUUAAGCGCCGGUAAACGGCGGUGGUAACUAUAACCAUCCUAAGGUAGCGAAAUUCCUUGUCGGGUAAGUUCCGACCUGCACGAAUGGCGUAACGACUUCCCCGCUGUCUCAACCGCAGACCCGGCGAAAUUGCACUACGAGUAAAGAUGCUCGUUUCGCGCAGCAGGACGGAAAGACCCCGGGACCUUCACUACAGCUUGACAUUGGCGUUUGGAACGUCUUGUGUAGGAUAGGUGGGAGACUGGGAAGCUGUCACGCUAGUGAUGGUGGAGUCAUUGGUGAAAUACCACUCUGGUCGUUUUGAACGUCUAACUCUGGUCCGUGAUCCGGAUCGGGGACAGUGUCUGGUGGUAGUUUAACUGGGGCGGUUGCCUCCUAAAGAGUAACGGAGGCGCCCAAAGGUUCCCUCAGCCUGGUUGGCAAUCAGGUGUUGAGUGUAAGUGCACAAGGGAGCUUGACUGUGAGACUGACAGGUCGAGCACGAGCGAAAGCUGGGACUAGUGAUCCGGCAUCGGCGUGUGGAAGCGGUGUCGCCCAACGGCUAAAAGGUACCCCGGGGAUAACAGGCUGAUCUUCCCCAAGAGUCCAUAUCGACGGGAUGGUUUGGCACCUCGAUGUCGGCUCGUCGCAUCCUGGGGCUGGAGUAGGUCCCAAGGGUUGGGCUGUUCGCCCAUUAAAGCGGUACGCGAGCUGGGUUUAGAACGUCGCGAGACAGUUCGGUCCCUAUCCGCUGCGCGCGCAGGAGACUUAAGGGGGCUGUCCCUAGUACGAGAGGACCGGGACGGACGAACCUCUGGUGUGCCAGUUGUACCGCCAGGUGCACGGCUGGUUGGCUACGUUCGGAAGGGAUAACCGCUGAAAGCAUCUAAGCGGGAAGCUCGCCUUGAGAUGAGGUCUCCCACCACGAGAGUGGGUAAGGCUCCCGGUAGACGACCGGGUUGAUAGGCCGGAGGUGGAAGCACGGUAACGUGUGGAGCUGACCGGUACUAAUAGGCCGAGGACUUGACCU
RNAcentral lists this ribosomal RNA (1271 nucleotides) under metagenome. Its description in RNAcentral is "bacterial LSU rRNA". It matches the Rfam family "Bacterial large subunit ribosomal RNA", at positions 1674 to 2925 of the family's 2925-position model. The record is from RNAcentral.